GACGAACGCUGGCGGCGUGCCUAAUACAUGCAAGUCGAACGCUUCCUACCGGUGCUUGCACCGGGAAAGAAGAGUGGCGGACGGGUGAGUAACACGUGGGUAACCUACCUACAAGCGGGGGAUAACAUUCGGAAACGGAGGCUAAUACCGCAUAGAUCUUUUUGUCUCCUGGCAGAAAGAAGAAAGACGGUUUCGGCUGUCACUUGUAGAUGGACCCGCGGCGCAUUAGUUAGGUGGUGAGGGAAUGGCUCACCAAGACGAUGAUGCGUAGCCGACCUGAGAGGGUGAUCGGCCACACUGGGACUGAGACACGGCCCAGACUCCUACGGGAGGCAGCAGUAGGGAAUCUUCCGCAAUGGACGAAAGUCUGACGGAGCAACGCCGCGUGAGUGAAGAAGGUUUUCGGAUCGUAAAACUCUGUUGUUAGAGAAGAACAAGGAUGAGAGUAACUGCUCGUCCCUUGACGGUAUCUAACCAGAAAGCCAUGGCUAACUACGUGCCAGCCGCCGCAGUAA
Molecule: ribosomal RNA, 515 nt
Filed under: uncultured bacterium
Lineage: Bacteria
Description: partial 16S ribosomal RNA
Rfam family: Bacterial small subunit ribosomal RNA
Source: RNAcentral